UGACCCUGUUACCCUUCCCACCAGUCUCCCUAACAGCUUUGGCCUUCGGGUCAGCUCAAUUUCCCCUCCACUGAGUGGCCAUUACUGUGCCUGCCCGGUGAUAAAUGCUUUUUGUGAGAGACUGCAUUGCCGCCAGCUAGCACUAGGGAAGUCU
This 154-nucleotide unclassified non-coding RNA is filed under the name Mus musculus (house mouse). RNAcentral's name for it is "noncoding RNA TB4299a". The record is from RNAcentral. Lineage: Eukaryota; Metazoa; Chordata; Mammalia; Rodentia; Muridae.